This 306-nucleotide long non-coding RNA is filed under the name Ornithorhynchus anatinus (platypus). Its description in RNAcentral is "lncRNA (ENSOANG00000051295.1)". The record is from RNAcentral. Lineage: Eukaryota; Metazoa; Chordata; Mammalia; Monotremata; Ornithorhynchidae.
GAAUAUGUUGAUUAUCGGAGAGUUGGAUGCUUUGAAAUGGUUUCACCAAGGUGUUUUUUUUCCUUCACAGAGCGCUUUGCUAUGGGGAGAAACGAGCCCAGCAAGGCUGAGGAAAAGAUUGGAUAUCCAUAUCCGUUGGAGGCUCCAAGCAAACACACUCAGAGGGUGACGAGAGCUCAGCAGACCCCAGGAUUGGCAAGUCCUCAAGCCCUCUGCUCUCCUUUACGGAGGAGAGCUGAGAGUAUUUGAAAAUUACCAUCCGGUGUACUAGUAGGAAAGCAGCAUAGCCUAGUGGACAGAGCCUGG